This 414-nucleotide ribosomal RNA is filed under the name uncultured microorganism. RNAcentral describes it as "bacterial SSU rRNA". It matches the Rfam family "Archaeal small subunit ribosomal RNA", at positions 459 to 872 of the family's 1478-position model. The record is from RNAcentral.
CAGCCGCCGCGGUAAUACCGGCGGCCCGAGUGGCGGCCACUAUUAUUGGGCUUAAAGCGUCCGUAGCCGGGUUGGUUAGUCUCCCGGGAAAUCUGGCCGCUUAACGGUCAGAAUUCCGGGAGAUACUGCCAGCCUAGGGACCGGGAGAGGCCGAGGGUAUUCCCGGAGUAGGGGUGAAAUCCUAUAAUCCCGGGAGGACCACCUGUGGCGAAGGCGCUCGGCUGGAACGGGUCCGACGGUGAGGGACGAAGGCCAGGGGAGCAAACCGGAUUAGAUACCCGGGUAGUCCUGGCUGUAAACGAUGCGGACUUUGUGUCGGGCAAGCUAUGAGCUUGUCCGGUGCCGCAGGGAAGCCGUUAAGUCCGCCGCCUGGGGAGUACGGCCGCAAGGCUGAAACUUAAAGGAAUUGGCGGG